UUCCGGAUUUAUUGGGCGUAAAGGGCUCGUAGGCGGCUCGUCGCGUCCGGUGUGAAAGUCCAUCGCUUAACGGUGGAUCUGCGCCGGGUACGGGCGGGCUGGAGUGCGGUAGGGGAGACUGGAAUUCCCGGUGUAACGGUGGAAUGUGUAGAUAUCGGGAAGAACACCGAUGGCGAAGGCAGGUCUCUGGGCCGUCACUGACGCUGAGGAGCGAAAGCGUGGGGAGCGAACAGGAUUAGAUACCCUGGUAGUCCACGCCGUAAACGGUGGACGCUGGAUGUGGGGCACGUUCCACGUGUUCCGUGUCGGAGCUAACGCGUUAAGCGUCCCGCCUGGGGAGUACGGCCGCAAGGCUAAAACUCAAAGAAAUUGACGGGGGCCCGCACAAGCGGCGGACAUCGGAUUAUAUUCAUGCACGCAAAACCUCACCGGGCUUGA
Molecule: ribosomal RNA, 438 nt
Filed under: uncultured bacterium
Lineage: Bacteria
Description: bacterial SSU rRNA
Rfam family: Bacterial small subunit ribosomal RNA
Source: RNAcentral